CUCCCAGUAGCUCAGUUGGUUUAGAGCGUUCGGCUGUAAUGGUUAAAUUGUCACCGAAAGGUCACUUGUUCGACUCAGGUCUGGGAGA
Biscogniauxia marginata is the source of this 88-nucleotide non-coding RNA. NCBI's taxonomy places the organism in Eukaryota, Fungi, Ascomycota, Sordariomycetes, Xylariales, Xylariaceae. The record is from the annotation of a GenBank genome assembly.